GGAUGCAGCAGUUAUUUAUUUACAUUUUUCAGCGUCAUAAAUCUCCAUAUAUCUCUAGCUCCAAGGAGAUGUGUACAACUCUCCUACAAGACAGACUCCAACUGGUAGAAAUAGCAGAUUUCUCACAGACAAAUAUCACUAGGUUGAUACGUUUAGUUCACAUACUCAAAUAGACUAAAUAUCACUAGGUUGAUACGUUUCAUUCACAUACUCAAACAGACUAAAUAUCAUUAGGUUGAUACGUUUAGUUCACAUACUCAAACAGACUAAAUAUCACUAGGUUGAUACGUUUAGUUCACAAACUCAAACAGACUAAAUAUCACUAGGUUGAUACGUUUAGUUCACAUACUCAAACAGACUAAAUAUCACUAGGUUGAUACGUUUAGUUCACAUACUCAAACAGACUAAAUAUCACUAGGUUGAUACGUUUAGUUCACAUACUCAAACAGACUAAAUAUCACUAGGUUGAUACGUUUAGUUCACAUACUCAAACAGACUAAAUAUCACUAGGUUGAUACGUUUAGUUCACAUACUCAAACAGACUAAAUAUCACUAG
RNAcentral lists this long non-coding RNA (556 nucleotides) under Salmo salar (Atlantic salmon). Its description in RNAcentral is "lncRNA (ENSSSAG00000082313.1, ENSSSAG00000086940.1)". The record is from RNAcentral. Lineage: Eukaryota; Metazoa; Chordata; Actinopteri; Salmoniformes; Salmonidae.